RNAcentral lists this ribosomal RNA (643 nucleotides) under Puccinia triticina. RNAcentral describes it as "eukaryotic LSU rRNA". The stretch from base 261 to 414 matches the Rfam family "5.8S ribosomal RNA". The record is from RNAcentral. Lineage: Eukaryota; Fungi; Basidiomycota; Pucciniomycetes; Pucciniales; Pucciniaceae.
UGAGUAAAAGUUGUAACAGGUUUCCGUAGGUGAACCUGCGGAAGGAUCAUAUUAAAAGAAUAGAGUGCAUUAAUUGGGCUCGACCCCUUUUAAAUUUUACCCAAACUUUUACCUUCUUUGCAUGAUUUGAAAGAAUCAUUGUGAUUAAGUAUACGUGGCAUUCUUUAUUGAAUGUUCACAUUACCCCCCCUUUUUUUUAUUUUUUUUUUUUUAAGUAACACAAGUUUAAAUGAAUGUAAAACAACCUUUAAAUUAUAAAUAACUUUUAACAAUGGAUCUCUAGGCUCUCACAUCGAUGAAGAACACAGUGAAAUGUGAUAAGUAAUGUGAAUUGCAGAAUUCAGUGAAUCAUCGAAUCUUUGAACGCAUCUUGCGCCUUUUGGUAUUCCAAAAGGCACACCUGUUUGAGUGUCAUGAAACCCUCUCAUUAAACAUUUUUUAACUUGUUUAAACUUGUUUAGUGGAUGUUGAGUGUUGCUGUCAUUAGCUCACUUUAAAUAUAUAAGUCACUUUUCAAAUAAGUUGGAUUGACUUGGUGUAAUAAUUUUAUCAUCACAUCAAGGAAAGUAGCAAUACUUGCCAUCUUGUUUAAUAUAAGGGACUUCUAAAAACCCCCCUUUUUCAAAAGACCUCAAAUCAGGGG